UGGGGAAUAUUGCGCAAUGGGCGAAAGCCUGACGCAGCGACGCCGCGUGAGGGAUGAAGGUUUUCGGAUCGUAAACCUCUGUCAGAAGGGAAGAAGUUAUGCCGUCCCAAUCAGCGGUAUAUUGACGGUAUCUUCAAAGGAAGCACCGGCUAACUCCGUGCCAGCAGCCGCGGUAAUACGGAGGGUGCAAGCGUUAAUCGGAAUUACUGGGCGUAAAGCGCACGUAGGCUGUAUGUCAAGUCAAGGGUGAAAUCCCACGGCUCAACCGUGGAACUGCCUUUGAACUGGCAAACUGGAGUAUGUGAGAGGAUGGCGGAAUUCCUGGUGUAGGAGUGAAAUCCGUAGAUAUCAGGAGGAACAUCAGUGGCGAAGGCGGCCAUCUGGCACAUAACUGACGCUGAGGUGCGAAAGCGUGGGUAGCAAACAGGAUUAGAUACC
Molecule: ribosomal RNA, 438 nt
Filed under: uncultured bacterium
Lineage: Bacteria
Description: bacterial SSU rRNA
Rfam family: Bacterial small subunit ribosomal RNA
Source: RNAcentral